This 492-nucleotide ribosomal RNA is filed under the name uncultured bacterium. Its description in RNAcentral is "partial 16S ribosomal RNA". It matches the Rfam family "Bacterial small subunit ribosomal RNA", at positions 29 to 507 of the family's 1533-position model. The record is from RNAcentral.
AGCGAACGCUGGCGGUAGGCCUAACACAUGCAAGUCGAACGGCAGCACAGUAAGAGUUUGCUCUUACGGGUGGCGAGUGGCGGACGGGUGAGGAAUACAUCGGAAUCUACUUUUUCGUGGGGGAUAACGUAGGGAAACUUACGCUAAUACAGCAUACGACCUACGGGUGAAAGCAUGGGAUCUUCGGACCUUGUGCGAUUGAAUGAGCCGAUGUCGGAUUAGCUAGUUGGCGGGGUAAAGGCCCACCAAGGCGACGAUCCGUAGCUGGUCUGAGAGGAUGGUCAGCCACACUGAAACUGAGACACGGUCCAGACUCCUACGGGAGGCAGCAGUGGGGAAUAUUGGGCAAUGGACGCAAGCCUGAUCCAGCCAUACCGCGUGGGUGAAGAAGGCCUUCGGGUUGUAAAGCCCUUUUGUUGGGAGAGAAGAACAGCAGGUUAAUACCCCGCGGUUCUGACGGUACCCAAAGAGUAAGCACCGGCUAACUUCGUG